RNAcentral lists this ribosomal RNA (254 nucleotides) under uncultured bacterium. RNAcentral describes it as "partial 16S ribosomal RNA". It matches the Rfam family "Bacterial small subunit ribosomal RNA", at positions 524 to 776 of the family's 1533-position model. The record is from RNAcentral.
UACGUAGGGUGCAAGCGUUAAUCGGAAUUACUGGGUGUAAAGCGCGUGUAGGCGGCAGGCCAAGUCUGCGGUGAAAGCGCCCGGCUCAACUGGGCGAGGUCCGUGGAAACUGGUCAGCUGGAGGACGGGUAGAGGCGAGUGGAAUUCCCGGUGUAGUGGUGAAAUGCGUAGAUAUCAAGAGGAACACCUGAGGUGAAGACGGGUUGCUGGGCUGAUACUGACGCUGAGGCGCGAAAGCUAGGGUAGCAAACGGG